CCCGUUCCCAUGCCGAACACGGAAGUUAAGCUCUUCAGCGCCGAUGGUAGUCGGGGGUUUCCCCCUGUGAGAGUAGGACGCCGCCAAGC
Molecule: ribosomal RNA, 89 nt
Filed under: Bacillus amyloliquefaciens
Lineage: Bacteria; Bacillati; Bacillota; Bacilli; Caryophanales; Bacillaceae
Also listed under: 4 other names
Source: RNAcentral